RNAcentral lists this ribosomal RNA (509 nucleotides) under uncultured Lachnospiraceae bacterium. RNAcentral describes it as "partial 16S ribosomal RNA". Lineage: Bacteria; Bacillati; Bacillota; Clostridia; Lachnospirales; Lachnospiraceae. The record is from RNAcentral.
CACGUAGUUAGCCGGGGCUUCUUAGUCAGGUACCGUCAUUUUCUUCCCUGCUGAUAGAAGUUUACAUACCGAAAUACUUCAUCCUUCACGCGGCGUCGCUGCAUCAGGGUUUCCCCCGUUGUGCAAUAUUCCCCACUGCUGCCUCCCGUAGGAGUUUGGGCCGUGUCUCAGUCCCAAUGUGGCCGGUCACCCUCUCAGGUCGGCUACUGAUCGUCGCCUUGGUGAGCCUUUACCUCACCAACCAGCUAAUCAGACGCGGGUCCAUCCCAUACCACCGGAGUUUUUACCCCUGCCACCAUGCGGCGCUGUGGUCUUAUGCGGUAUUAGCAGACAUUUCUAUCUGUUACUCCCCCUGUAUGGGGCAGGUUACCCACGCGUUACUCACCCGUCCGCCACUCAGUCACAGUACUAAUCCAACCCGAAGGAAUACAAAGUAAAGUGCUUCGUUCGACUUGCAUGUGUUAAGCACGCCGCCAGCGUUCACUCCUGACGCCAGGACUACAAACUCU